This 161-nucleotide ribosomal RNA is filed under the name Casearia combaymensis. RNAcentral's name for it is "ITS1". It matches the Rfam family "5.8S ribosomal RNA". Rfam says of the family: 5.8S ribosomal RNA (5.8S rRNA) is a component of the large subunit of the eukaryotic ribosome. Lineage: Eukaryota; Viridiplantae; Streptophyta; Magnoliopsida; Malpighiales; Salicaceae. The record is from RNAcentral.
ACGACUCUCGGCAACGGAUAUCUCGGCUCUCGCAUCGAUGAAGAACGUAGCGAAAUGCGAUACUUGGUGUGAAUUGCAGAAUCCCGUGAACCAUCGAGUCUUUGAACGCAAGUUGCGCCCGAGGCCUAUUGGUCGAGGGCACGUCCGCCUGGGUGUCACGC